UGCAGUCGAACGCUGAAGCCGGGUGCUUGCACCUGGUGGAUGAGUGGCGAACGGGUGAGUAACACGUGAGUAACCUGCCCCUGAUUUCGGGAUAAGCCUGGGAAACUGGGUCUAAUACCGGAUAUGACCUUUCCUCGCAUGAGGGUUGGUGGAAAGUUUUUCGAUUGGGGAUGGGCUCGCGGCCUAUCAGCUUGUUGGUGGGGUAAUGGCCUACCAAGGCGACGACGGGUAGCCGGCCUGAGAGGGCGACCGGCCACACUGGGACUGAGACACGGCCCAGACUCCUACGGGAGGCAGCAGUGGGGAAUAUUGCACAAUGGGGGAAACCCUGAUGCAGCGACGCAACGUGCGGGAUGACGGCCUUCGGGUUGUAAACCGCUUUCAGCAGGGAAGAAGCGAAAGUGACGGUACCUGCAGAAGAAGUACCGGCUAACUACGUGCCAGCAGCCGCGGUAAUACGUAGGGUACGAGCGUUGUCCGGAAUUAUUGGGCGUAAAGAGCUCGUAGGUGGUUGGUCACGUCUGCUGUGGAAACGCAACGCUUAACGUUGCGCGGGCAGUGGGUACGGGCUGACUAGAGUGCAGUAGGGGAGUCUGGAAUUCCUGGUGUAGCGGUGAAAUGCGCAGAUAUCAGGAGGAACACCGGUGGCGAAGGCGGGACUCUGGGCUGUAACUGACACUGAGGAGCGAAAGCAUGGGGAGCGAACAGGAUUAGAUACCCUGGUAGUCCAUGCCGUAAACGUUGGGCACUAGGUGUGGGGGACAUUCCACGUUCUCCGCGCCGUAGCUAACGCAUUAAGUGCCCCGCCUGGGGAGUACGGUCGCAAGGCUAAAACUCAGAGGAAUUUGACGGGGGCCCGCACAAGCGGCGGAGCAUGCGGAUUAAUUUCGAUGCAACGC
Molecule: ribosomal RNA, 899 nt
Filed under: uncultured bacterium
Lineage: Bacteria
Description: bacterial SSU rRNA
Rfam family: Bacterial small subunit ribosomal RNA
Source: RNAcentral